AUUCUUGGUCAUUUAGAGGAAGUAAAAGUCGUAACAAGGUCUCCGUAGGUGAACCUGCGGAGGGAUCAUUACACAAAUAUGAAGGCGGGCUGGAACCUCUCGGGGUUACAGCCUUGCUGAAUUAUUCACCCUUGUCUUUUGCGUACUUCUUGUUUCCUUGGUGGGUUCGCCCACCACUAGGACAAACAUAAACCUUUUGUAAUUGCAAUCAGCGUCAGUAACAAAUUAAUAAUUACAACUUUCAACAACGGAUCUCUUGGUUCUGGCAUCGAUGAAGAACGCAGCGAAAUGCGAUAAGUAGUGUGAAUUGCAGAAUUCAGUGAAUCAUCGAAUCUUUGAACGCACAUUGCGCCCUUUGGUAUUCCAAAGGGCAUGCCUGUUCGAGCGUCAUUUGUACCCUCAAGCUUUGCUUGGUGUUGGGCGUCUUGUCUCUAGCUUUGCUGGAGACUCGCCUUAAAGUAAUUGGCAGCCGGCCUACUGGUUUCGGAGCGCAGCACAAGUCGCACUCUCUAUCAGCAAAGGUCUAGCAUCCAUUAAGCCUUUUUUUCAACUUUUGACCUCGGAUCAGGUAGGGAUACCCGCUGAACUCAAGCAUAUCAAUAAGCGGAGGAAAAGAAACCAACAGGGAUUGCCCUAGUAACGGCGAGUGAAGCGGCAACAGCUCAAAUUUGAAUCUGGCUCUUUUAGAGUCCGAGUUGUAAUUUGCAGAGGGCGCUUUGGCUUUGGCAGCGGUCCAAGUUCCUUGGAACAGGACGUCACAGAGGGUGAGAAUCCCGUACGUGGUCGCUGGCUAUUGCCGUGUAAAGCCCCUUCGACGAGUCGAGUUGUUUGGGAAUGCAGCUCUAAAUGGGAGGUACAUUUCUUCUAAAGCUAAAUAUUGGCCAGAGACCGAUAGCGCACAAGUAGAGUGAUCGAAAGAUGAAAAGAAUCUC
Molecule: ribosomal RNA, 932 nt
Filed under: uncultured Alternaria
Lineage: Eukaryota; Fungi; Ascomycota; Dothideomycetes; Pleosporales; Pleosporaceae
Description: eukaryotic LSU rRNA
Rfam family: Eukaryotic large subunit ribosomal RNA (bases 555-932)
Source: RNAcentral